RNAcentral lists this ribosomal RNA (467 nucleotides) under uncultured bacterium. RNAcentral describes it as "bacterial SSU rRNA". It matches the Rfam family "Bacterial small subunit ribosomal RNA", at positions 28 to 507 of the family's 1533-position model. The record is from RNAcentral.
GAUGAACGCUAGCGGCAGGCUUAAUACAUGCAAGUCAAGGGGGUAGCAAUACAACCGGCGCACGGGUGAGUAACACGUACACAACAUACCAUAUACUGAGGUAUAGCUUCGGGAAACUGAAGGUAAUCCCUCAUAGUAUUGUGAAAGGGCAUCUUUUACAAUUAAAGUUUCGACGGUAUAUGAUUGGUGUGCGUUUGAUUAGCUAGUUGGUAGGGUAACGGCCUACCAAGGCAACGAUCAAUAGCUGGCGUGAGAGCGCGACCAGCCACACUGGAACUGAGACACGGUCCAGACUCCUACGGGAGGCAGCAGUAGGGAAUAUUGGACAAUGGGCGAAAGCCUGAUCCAGCCAUGCCGCGUGAUAGAUGAAGGCCCUCUGGGUUGUAAAUAUCUUUUAUCUGGGAAGAAACACUUCUAUUCUUAGAAGCUUGACGGUACCAGAGGAAUAAGCACCGGCUAACUCCGUG